This 21-nucleotide small nuclear RNA is filed under the name Arabidopsis thaliana (thale cress). Its description in RNAcentral is "snRNA_13084". The record is from RNAcentral. Lineage: Eukaryota; Viridiplantae; Streptophyta; Magnoliopsida; Brassicales; Brassicaceae.
UAAAUUCUCAUAAAACUGUAU